CCUACGGGAGGCAGCAGUGAGGAAUAUUGGUCAAUGGACGCGAGUCUGAACCAGCCAAGUAGCGUGAAGGAUGACUGCCCUAUGGGUUGUAAACUUCUUUUAUAUGGGAAUAAAAUGUUCCACGUGUGGGAUUUUGUAUGUACCAUAUGAAUAAGGAUCGGCUAACUCCGUGCCAGCAGCCGCGGUAAUACGGAGGAUCCGAGCGUUAUCCGGAUUUAUUGGGUUUAAAGGGAGCGUAGGUGGAUUGUUAAGUCAGUUGUGAAAGUUUGCGGCUCAACCGUAAAAUUGCAGUUGAAACUGGCAGUCUUGAGUACAGUAGAGGUAGGCGGAAUUCGUGGUGUAGCGGUGAAAUGCUUAGAUAUCACGAAGAACUCCGAUUGCGAAGGCAGCUCACUAAACUGCAACUGACACUGAGGCUCGAAAGUGUGGGUAGCAAACAGGAUUAGAUACCCUUGUAGUC
RNAcentral lists this ribosomal RNA (460 nucleotides) under uncultured bacterium. RNAcentral's name for it is "partial 16S ribosomal RNA". It matches the Rfam family "Bacterial small subunit ribosomal RNA", at positions 338 to 795 of the family's 1533-position model. The record is from RNAcentral.